Molecule: unclassified non-coding RNA, 329 nt
Filed under: soil metagenome
Description: partial contains 5.8S ribosomal RNA, internal transcribed spacer 2, and large subunit ribosomal RNA
Rfam family: 5.8S ribosomal RNA (bases 1-120)
Source: RNAcentral
GAUGAAGAACGCAGCGAAAUGCGAUAAGUAAUGUGAAUUGCAGAAUUCAGUGAAUCAUCGAAUCUUUGAACGCACAUUGCGCCCCCUGGUAUUCCGGGGGGCAUGCCUGUUCGAGCGUCAUUACAACCCUCAAGCUCUGCUUGGUGUUGGGCCCCGCCGCCCCGGCGGGCCCUAAAAUCAGUGGCGGUGCCGUCCGGCUCCGAGCGUAGUAAUUCUUCUCGCUCUGGAGGUCCGGGUGUGUGCUCGCCAGCAACCCCCAAUUUUUUUCAGGUUGACCUCGGAUCAGGUAGGAAGACCCGCUGAACUUAAGCAUAUCAAUAAGCGGAGGA